UCACAUACAAGUCGCAUAUAUUUGUUAAUGUGAACGACCUCACAAAAAAAUCGGAUUUCACAAAAAAAUCGGAAUUGAGCAUUAAGCCUUGCAGUGUGAACGUAGCGUUAGAUCCAGGUCAGCACUGCCUAUGUCCAGCUCAGGUCCCGUCCUUCCUGCCCUGUGCAUUAUAUGUAAAAAAAAAAAAAAAUCUCAAAUUCGUCUUAAAGGGAGGCAAACGACAAAGGGAAGCUCUUUCAAAAGCUGAGACCUUAACAGCAGGCAAGUUGCAGACUGCUGCUGAGACUAAAGAUGACCACGGUAUUCUGGUACACAUUAAGGACAAAGACUGUGUGGCUCUGGAGGUGCAGUACCACAAGAGCUGCUACCAGCAGUACACCAGAUUUCUGAAUGAGCCUGCUAGACAAGAGAAGGACAAGUCAUUGCCUGGAUGCUGACCCCUGCCUUUUUGCACCGUGCCACAGGACUUUUAUAUAUUUUUAUAUUUUUUUUUUUGUGUGUAUAUAUAAAUUUGCAUUUGUAAUGUGUAUAUAUCACUGUUUUGUUGUUUACAUUUUCUAUUAAAGUUUGCAAUU
This is a long non-coding RNA of Neoarius graeffei (lesser salmon catfish), 575 nucleotides long. RefSeq lists it as uncharacterized. The transcript is spliced from 3 exons. Lineage: Eukaryota; Metazoa; Chordata; Actinopteri; Siluriformes; Ariidae. The record is from RefSeq and is a predicted model, not a curated record.